RNAcentral lists this ribosomal RNA (468 nucleotides) under uncultured bacterium. RNAcentral describes it as "partial 16S ribosomal RNA". It matches the Rfam family "Bacterial small subunit ribosomal RNA", at positions 28 to 507 of the family's 1533-position model. The record is from RNAcentral.
GACGAACGCUGGCGGCGUGCUUAACACAUGCAAGUCGAACGGAAAGGCCCUGCUUUUGUGGGGUGCUCGAGUGGCGAACGGGUGAGUAACACGUGAGUAACCUGCCCUUGACUUUGGGAUAACUUCAGGAAACUGGGGCUAAUACCGGAUAGGAGCUCCUGCUGCAUGGUGGGGGUUGGAAAGUUUCGGCGGUUGGGGAUGGACUCGCGGCUUAUCAGCUUGUUGGUGGGGUAGUGGCUUACCAAGGCUUUGACGGGUAGCCGGCCUGAGAGGGUGACCGGCCACAUUGGGACUGAGAUACGGCCCAGACUCCUACGGGAGGCAGCAGUGGGGAAUAUUGCACAAUGGGCGGAAGCCUGAUGCAGCAACGCCGCGCGCGGGAUGACGGCCUUCGGGUUGUAAACCGCCUUCGCCUGUGACGAAGCGUGAGUGACGGUAAUGGGUAAAGAAGCACCGGCUAACUACGUG